Molecule: ribosomal RNA, 783 nt
Filed under: Enterococcus faecium
Lineage: Bacteria; Bacillati; Bacillota; Bacilli; Lactobacillales; Enterococcaceae
Description: bacterial SSU rRNA
Rfam family: Bacterial small subunit ribosomal RNA
Source: RNAcentral
AGGACGAACGCUGGCGGCGUGCCUAAUACAUGCAAGUCGAACGCUUCUUUUUCCACCGGAGCUUGCUCCACCGGAAAAAGAGGAGUGGCGAACGGGUGAGUAACACGUGGGUAACCUGCCCAUCAGAAGGGGAUAACACUUGGAAACAGGUGCUAAUACCGUAUAACAAUCRAAACCGCAUGGUUUUGAUUUGAAAGGCGCUUUCGGGUGUCGCUGAUGGAUGGACCCGCGGUGCAUUAGCUAGUUGGUGAGGUAACGGCUCACCAAGGCCACGAUGCAUAGCCGACCUGAGAGGGUGAUCGGCCACAUUGGGACUGAGACACGGCCCAAACUCCUACGGGAGGCAGCAGUAGGGAAUCUUCGGCAAUGGACGAAAGUCUGACCGAGCAACGCCGCGUGAGUGAAGAAGGUUUUCGGAUCGUAAAACUCUGUUGUUAGAGAAGAACAAGGAUGAGAGUAACUGUUCAUCCCUUGACGGUAUCUAACCAGAAAGCCACGGCUAACUACGUGCCAGCAGCCGCGGUAAUACGUAGGUGGCAAGCGUUGUCCGGAUUUAUUGGGCGUAAAGCGAGCGCAGGCGGUUUCUUAAGUCUGAUGUGAAAGCCCCCGGCUCAACCGGGGAGGGUCAUUGGAAACUGGGAGACUUGAGUGCAGAAGAGGAGAGUGGAAUUCCAUGUGUAGCGGUGAAAUGCGUAGAUAUAUGGAGGAACACCAGUGGCGAAGGCGGCUCUCUGGUCUGUAACUGACGCUGAGGCUCGAAAGCGUGGGGAGCAAACAGGAUUA